RNAcentral lists this ribosomal RNA (434 nucleotides) under uncultured Clostridium sp. RNAcentral describes it as "partial 16S ribosomal RNA". It matches the Rfam family "Bacterial small subunit ribosomal RNA", at positions 341 to 792 of the family's 1533-position model. The record is from RNAcentral. Lineage: Bacteria; Bacillati; Bacillota; Clostridia; Eubacteriales; Clostridiaceae.
ACGGGAGGCAGCAGUGGGGAAUAUUGCACAAUGGGGGAAACCCUGAUGCAGCAACGCCGCGUGAAGGAAGAUGGUCUUCGGAUUGUAAACUUCUGUUCUUAGUGAAGAUAAUGACGGUAGCUAAGGAGCAAGCCACGGCUAACUACGUGCCAGCAGCCGCGGUAAUACGUAGGUGGCAAGCGUUGUCCGGAAUUACUGGGUGUAAAGGGAGCGCAGGCGGGAAAUCAAGUUGGAUGUGAAAUGUCGGGGCUUAACCCCGGAACUGCAUCCAAAACUGAUUUUCUUGAGUGAAGUAGAGGUAGGCGGAAUUCCGAGUGUAGCGGUGAAAUGCGUAGAUAUUCGGAGGAACACCAGUGGCGAAGGCGGCCUACUGGGCUUUAACUGUCGCUGAUGCUCGAAAGCGUGGGUCUCGAACAGGAUUAGAUACCCUGGUA